AUUGAACGCUGGCGGCAUGCUUUACACAUGCAAGUCGAACGGUAACAGGGUGCUUGCACCGCUGACGAGUGGCGAACGGGUGAGUAAUGCGUCGGAACGUGCCGAGUAGUGGGGGAUAACGCAGCGAAAGGUGUGCUAAUACCGCAUACGUACUGAGGUAGAAAGUGGGGGACCUUCGGGCCUCACGCUAUUCGAGCGGCCGACGUCUGAUUAGCUAGUAGGUGAGGUAAAGGCUCACCUAGGCUACGAUCAGUAGCGGGUCUGAGAGGAUGAUCCGCCACACUGGGACUGAGACACGGCCCAGACUCCUACGGGAGGCAGCAGUGGGGAAUUUUGGACAAUGGGCGAAAGCCUGAUCCAGCCAUGCCGCGUGUCUGAAGAAGGCCUUCGGGUUGUAAAGGACUUUUGUCAGGGAGGAAAUCCCUAGUGCUAAUAACACUGGGGGAUGACAGUACCUGAAGAAUAAGCACCGGCUAACUACGUGCCAGCCGCCGCAGUAA
RNAcentral lists this ribosomal RNA (500 nucleotides) under uncultured bacterium. RNAcentral's name for it is "partial 16S ribosomal RNA". It matches the Rfam family "Bacterial small subunit ribosomal RNA", at positions 30 to 523 of the family's 1533-position model. The record is from RNAcentral.